Molecule: long non-coding RNA, 725 nt
Filed under: Homo sapiens (human)
Lineage: Eukaryota; Metazoa; Chordata; Mammalia; Primates; Hominidae
Description: HSALNT0383014
Source: RNAcentral
UCUGGAACUCUGUGUUCUGCCAGGGACACAGUUUGUGGGGCAGGCCUGAGACCUUCCAUGUAGCUGGUGGGGAGUUGACUAGCUUUGCUUAUGCUCUCAAGUUGAUCCAUACAGUGCCAGAUUAUACCCUAUCAUAAGAGAUAGGGUCCCCUGAACACAAGAAGUCAUCUCCCCUUCUGGGUAGGACUUUGCACCACAUUCUCUUCCCUCUGCCUGGAACAUACCUCCCAACUGCUUUACUCUCUUAAAUCUCACUCAUUACCAUCUAAAACCAUUUUCCUUUCUUAUUGCCUGUUUGCUGUCAUCUCCCACAGGACUGUGAACUCAAGAAAGCAGGAAGUAUGCCUCCCUUAUUCAUCACUGGGUCCCCAGUGCUUAGAACAGUGCCUGGCACAGAGACGGGGCUCUGUAAAGAUCUGCUGAAUGAACACUUUAUCCUCUUACUUCUUAUCCUUCAAGCCUCAGAUGUUCCCCCAGGAUGCCUUCUUCGUUUCCCCAGACUAGUUCAAGCUGCACCUCCGACGUGCUCCCACAGCCCCUGAGCUGCCUCCCUGCAGACGCCAUACCUGCCGUGGCUGCUUGUUUGCUGAGUAGCCUCUCCCACUGAACCCUGGGCAACUUGAGAUAAAUGAAGAUUCUGAGGCCAAAGGAGAAUUGCAGGGAAGAUAAAUCCUGAAAACUUUUCAAACAUUUCAGAAUGCACACUCCCUUUGAAGAGUAAAAAA